Molecule: long non-coding RNA, 739 nt
Organism: Daphnia pulicaria
Lineage: Eukaryota; Metazoa; Arthropoda; Branchiopoda; Diplostraca; Daphniidae
Exons: 2
Source: RefSeq, a predicted model, not a curated record
UUCUUUUUUUUUCAUUUUCUUUUUGGUACGAAAAGGAUUCCAAUGAAGCCAUCACCGUUGCGUCGGAAGUCCUAGCCUUGAGACCGGAUUCCUUUGAGGCUCUUUAUGUCCGAGCCAAGGCAAGGCGUGUCGUUGGACAAACUGAACAGGCGUUGUCGGAUUUAAAUGAGGCCAUGAAAGUAGCCCCACCUGGUAGGGAUGUGCGAAAGGUUUUACUGAAAGCCAUCGAAGAGACCGAAAGUGCCCAACGGCUCCCUGGAACUUCCACCCUAGACUUAAUGGAAACAUCUUCUGACACCAUCCAAGACUGCUGCAGCAGCGGAGUUGGUUCCAGUUCGACCUCCACUUCCGAACGAGGUUAACCCCCUUUGCUGGGCACCACUGUUCGUUUGACCGUGCCUCUAGUGAAAUAAUUGUUAAGAUAUUUAGUUGAAUGUAAUUUUCGUCUUUUAACUUACCGUAAGUUUUGCAAUUGGCGUGUUUCGUUCUUCGAGAUAAUUUGUUUUUUUUUUCAUCCGCUUUGGCGUCGGAUCAAAUUCUCAGUAGACGUCUCAUAACUGAAAUUCAAUUCAUUUCUAUCAAGUUUAGAACCAGCUCUUGAUGAUUAACUUAUUGGCGAUUCAAUCAAAUAAUGACAUUUGUAAAAGGUAUCUUCUAUUAAAAAAGCGUGACGGUUUAUAGAAACAAAAUGUUUUCACUAAGUGACAUGUAAAAGAAAUAAAUGAAAUUAUAGAACUGA